AUUGAACGCUGGCGGCAGGCCUAACACAUGCAAGUCGAACGGUAACAGGAAGAAGCUUGCUUCUUUGCUGACGAGUGGCGGCCGGGUGAGUAAUGUCUGGGAAACUGCCUGAUGGAGGGGGAUAACUACUGGAAACGGUAGCUAAUACCGCAUAACGUCGCAAGACCAAAGAGGGGGACCUUCGGGCCUCUUGCCAUCGGCUGUGCCCAGAUGGGAGUAGCUAGUAGGUGGGGUAACGGCUCACCUAGGCGACGAUCCCUAGCUGGUCUGAGAGGAUGACCAGCCACACUGGAACUGAGACACGGUCCAGACUCCUACGGGAGGCAGCAGUGGGGAAUAUUGCACAAUGGGCGCAAGCCUGAUGCAGCCAUGCCGCGUGUAUGAAGAAGGCCUUCGGGUUGUAAAGUACUUUCAGCGGGGAGGAAGGGAGUAAAGUUAAUACCUUUGCUCAUUGACGUUACCCGCAGAAGAAGCACCGGCUAACUCCGUG
RNAcentral lists this ribosomal RNA (490 nucleotides) under uncultured bacterium. RNAcentral describes it as "partial 16S ribosomal RNA". It matches the Rfam family "Bacterial small subunit ribosomal RNA", at positions 30 to 507 of the family's 1533-position model. The record is from RNAcentral.